GACGAACGCUGGCGGCGUGCUUAACACAUGCAAGUCGAACGGCAAGGCCCUGCUUUUGUGGGGUGCUCGAGUGGCGAACGGGUGAGUAACACGUGAGUAACCUGCUCUUGUCUUUGGGAUAACUUAAGGAAACUGGGGCUAAUAUCGGAUAGGAGAUCCUGCUGCAUGGUGGGGGUUGGAAAGUUUCGGCGGUUGGGGAUGGACUCGCGGCUUAUCAGCUAGUUGGUGGGGUAGUGGCUUACCAAGGCUUUGACGGGUAGGCGGCCUGGGAGGGUGACCGGCCACAAUGGUACUGAGGGACGGCCCAGACUCCUACGGGAGGCAGCGGUGGGGAAUAUUGCACAAUGGGCGGGAGCCUGAUGCAGCAGCGCCGCGUGCGUAAUGACGGCCUUCGGGUUGUAAACCGCUUUCGCCUGUGACGAAGCGUGAGUGACGGUAAUGGAUAAAGAAGCACCGGCUAACUACGUG
This 468-nucleotide ribosomal RNA is filed under the name uncultured bacterium. Its description in RNAcentral is "partial 16S ribosomal RNA". It matches the Rfam family "Bacterial small subunit ribosomal RNA", at positions 28 to 507 of the family's 1533-position model. The record is from RNAcentral.